Small nucleolar RNA from Impatiens glandulifera, 74 nucleotides. RefSeq annotates it as small nucleolar RNA R12. The record is from RefSeq and is a predicted model, not a curated record. Lineage: Eukaryota; Viridiplantae; Streptophyta; Magnoliopsida; Ericales; Balsaminaceae. The transcript has a single exon.
AAUUGUAUGAUGAAAGAAAUCAUUCGGAUUCCCACUGAAUAUUAAUUUUGAUUAUGAAAAGUAUUCUGACUUUU